This 85-nucleotide transfer RNA is filed under the name Felis catus (domestic cat). It matches the Rfam family "tRNA". Rfam says of the family: Transfer RNA (tRNA) molecules are approximately 80 nucleotides in length. Their secondary structure includes four short double-helical elements and three loops (D, anti-codon, and T loops). The record is from Rfam by way of RNAcentral. Lineage: Eukaryota; Metazoa; Chordata; Mammalia; Carnivora; Felidae.
GCCUGGGUGGCUUAGUCGGUGAAGCCUCUGACUUCAACUCAGGUCAUGAACUCACGGUUUGUGAGUUCGAGCCCCGCGUCGGGCU